GUGGGGAAUCUUCCGCAAUGGACGAAAGUCUGACGGAGCAACGCCGCGUGAGUGAUGAAGGUCUUCGGAUUGUAAAGCUCUGUUAAUCGGGACGAAAGAGCCUAGUGUGAAUAAUGCUAGGAAGUGACGGUACCGGAAUAGAAAGCCACGGCUAACUACGUGCCAGCAGCCGCGGUAAUACGUAGGUGGCAAGCGUUGUCCGGAAUUAUUGGGCGUAAAGCGCGCGCAGGCGGAUCUGCCAGUCUGUCUUAAAAGUUCGGGGCUUAACCCCGUGAUGGGAUGGAAACUACAGAUCUAGAGUAUCGGAGAGGAAAGUGGAAUUCCUAGUGUAGCGGUGAAAUGCGUAGAUAUUAGGAAGAACACCAGUGGCGAAGGCGACUUUCUGGACGAAAACUGACGCUGAGGCGCGAAAGCUAGGGGAGCGAACGGGAUUAGAAACCCGUGUAGUCC
Molecule: ribosomal RNA, 450 nt
Filed under: uncultured bacterium
Lineage: Bacteria
Description: partial 16S ribosomal RNA
Rfam family: Bacterial small subunit ribosomal RNA
Source: RNAcentral